RNAcentral lists this ribosomal RNA (873 nucleotides) under uncultured Acidobacteriota bacterium. RNAcentral's name for it is "bacterial SSU rRNA". It matches the Rfam family "Bacterial small subunit ribosomal RNA", at positions 58 to 910 of the family's 1533-position model. Lineage: Bacteria; Pseudomonadati; Acidobacteriota. The record is from RNAcentral.
CAAGUCGAACGAGAUUGUGGGGGCAACUCUGCAGUCUAGUGGCGGACGGGUGAGUAACACGUGGGUAACCUGCCCGGAAGUGGGGAAUACCUCGGGGAAACUCGAGCUAAUACCGCAUAACAUCUUCGGGACGAAAGUCCUGACGAUCAAAGCGGGGUCGCAAGAUCUCGCGCUACCGGAUGGGCCCGCGCCCGAUUAGCUAGUUGGUGAGGUAACGGCUCACCAAGGCUUCGAUCGGUAACCGGCCUGAGAGGGCGAUCGGUCGCACCGGAACUGAGACACGGUCCGGACUCCUACGGGAGGCAGCAGUGGGGAAUCUUGCGCAAUGGGCGAAAGCCUGACGCAGCAACGCCGCGUGGAGGAUGAAGGCCCUUGGGUUGUAAACUCCUGUCGGCUGGGAAGAAAUCGUUCGGGGCUAAUACCUUCGGACGUUGACUGUACCAGCAAAGGAAGCCCCGGCUAACUCUGUGCCAGCAGCCGCGGUAAUACAGAGGGGGCCAGCGUUAUUCGGAAUUAUUGGGCGUAAAGGGCGCGUAGGCGGCCAUGCGUGUCUCCCGUGAAAUCCCUCGGCUUAACUGAGGACGUGCGGGAGAAACUGCAAGGCUCGAGUCCGGGAGAGGGGGGUGGAAUUCCCAGUGUAGCGGUGAAAUGCGUAGAUAUUGGGAGGAACACCGGUGGCGAAGGCGGCCCCCUGGACCGGUACUGACGCUGAGGCGCGAAGCGUGGGUAGCAAACGGGAUUAGAUACCCCGGUAGUCCACGCCGUAAACGAUGGGCACUUGGUGUCGCGGGUAUCGACCCCUGCGGUGCCGAAGCUAACGCAUUAAGUGCCCCGCCUGGGGAGUACGGUCGCAAGGCUGAAACUCAAAGGAAU